This 84-nucleotide transfer RNA is filed under the name Candidatus Wildermuthbacteria bacterium. RNAcentral's name for it is "tRNA-Leu". It matches the Rfam family "tRNA". Rfam says of the family: Transfer RNA (tRNA) molecules are approximately 80 nucleotides in length. Their secondary structure includes four short double-helical elements and three loops (D, anti-codon, and T loops). Lineage: Bacteria; Candidatus Wildermuthiibacteriota. The record is from RNAcentral.
GCCCGGGUGGCGGAAUGGUAUACGCGGAGGACUUAAAAUCCUCUGCCGCAGGGCUUGUGGGUCCGAGUCCCACCCCGGGCACCA